This 21-nucleotide ribosomal RNA is filed under the name Diaporthe raonikayaporum. RNAcentral describes it as "partial 28S ribosomal RNA". Lineage: Eukaryota; Fungi; Ascomycota; Sordariomycetes; Diaporthales; Diaporthaceae. The record is from RNAcentral.
AUUUGACCUCGGAUCAGGUAG